UCUCCCACCCCACCACGCCCCCACUUGUCCACUGAGCCCCCAGCUCUCUCAUCCACAGCUGGACGCAGGGACCCAGCCAGACGCUCCAAGAGGUCCCUAGAGGAAGGCAGCAUCUCAAGGCAGAGUCAGGCCCUGGGGAGAAACACGCUUUUACCAUCCAGGGCCAUGGAGCUCCCGGCUGUGAGUGAAACAGCACCUGGCCCUGGUGCACGCACGUGGGGCACGCAGAAACCCACACACAGGGAAUUCACCGAAUUCUCACCCACGCGGUGGGCUGGGCCCUGCUCACCCCAGGUAAAAAACACAUGACCUGAGCUGACAGGGGAGUGUAGUGUGGGCUCCACCUGAGGAGGAGGCGCAAAGGUUUCAGCAAUUCAGAGAGGUGGGUGUGCCUGGAAAUGCACUGGGAACAACCUCACCCCGAAUCAGAGGAACUUCCCCGUUACCAGCCUGGGCCACAGCUCCACACCCGGGCCCUCUGCCGUUUGCCAACUGUAAGUGGCCUCUGCCCACCUGAGCAGUUCAUGAGAAACAGGAAAACCAUUUCCAGAAACCAGUUUAGAGUCAAACAGUUACCUGAGUUCAGCAUUUCAAGAAGUUGGCCCUUCUAUGUCACACAUUAUUAUUUUGUAUUUAUUUAUGAAAGCAAUGCGUGCUAACCCUACAAAACUGGAAGAGGCAUUGAGGGAAAGGAAGAAACUGAAGACCAUGGCCACAGGCCUUCCGGGACUUUCCUGCGUGUUCGUGUCUACUCAGGGCUGACGUCGCACAGUUCUGCAUCCUUCAUUGUCACGUGGUAUUUUCUUAAGACAAUUCCAUGUCAUAAAAGUG
This 831-nucleotide long non-coding RNA is filed under the name Homo sapiens (human). RNAcentral describes it as "HSALNT0083216". Lineage: Eukaryota; Metazoa; Chordata; Mammalia; Primates; Hominidae. The record is from RNAcentral.